AGCUUGGGGCGAGACGCCAGCGGGCGACGGGGGCGAAGGGCAAGCGCCGCCCAGACGAGAGGAGAAGAGACGGAAACAUUAUGGACAGAAGAACAGAGGCAGAGAGAGAACUAGGAGCUUUCUGAUACCCAUCUGCAACAAAAACUCCCAUCUCUCUCCUUCAUUAUGCAAUCUGCACUAGUAGGUGAGAGUAACAGAGACAUCUGCUGCAUUAAGGACCACCUGUGAAUGGCAGGCUGAAAUGAGAUUAUCUUCAACAGCAGAGACAAGGUGACACAAUCAUGACUCGGGCAUUCCACAGAAAGAAAAGAUCCAAUCCCAGUAAGUAAUAAUUUAUUUUCCAGCAAACUAAUGGUUUCAAUCACAGGUAGGCAGAAAUAUUACAUUUAAUAGUAGCAAUACUGUAGGAGUAAUUAUUUAUACUGAAUUAACAAUGUAUGUGGCAUGUUCAUUAGCAGCAGAUGCAGAAAUUAACAGCACAGGUGAAAAGCUAUUUUAGAAGGACACAAUUGAUUUAAUUCCGAUUUCCUAACUUUGAUCUUUCCGAACCUUCUCACAUCAUAGCUGGUGUACAGACAGGAAUAGCCAAACUAUAUGAAUACGGUUUCAGUUAUUGAGGAGGGUGGUUUAUUGGGGUUUUGUUGUUGUUGUUCUUGUUUCCAUUAUGUAUUUUAUGUUUUUAUCUUGUAAUUUUGUUGUGACCCGCCCUGAGAUUUACAGACGGAGGGCGAUAUAGAGAUUUAAUAAAUAAAAGAAUAAAAGGGCAUAUUUCAGAAAGGUGCUUUGCAUCUGUCCCCUCUAUUGAUGCCUUCCUGGAGCAAGAACUUGGCAAUCUUAUUAAUAGAAGUAGUACACUUACUUCUUCCCAUAAUGGGCACCUCUUUGCUUAGUUUCAGAGUGGCAAUUAAGUUAAAAUAUAUAUACUUGGGCAUUUUUAUUGAACUUAACUAAUAGGUAGAAUGGUUGUUUCCUCCCUCUGUCUCUACUACCUCCUUACAACAUAUCUUGUUUCUUAAUUGAAUAUUGUGUGCGUGUUUCUCUGUGUGUGUGUGUAAUAUACACAUGCAUCUAUAAUACCCACACACACUUCGUGAUGGGUUCAGGACUUGGCUUUGCAACCUGUUUAUAAUUCUAGCCUUCAGCCCUGGCAAUGUAAUAAAAACGCCAACUAAUAAAUCCCUCAGUCAGUUACGAAGGUCCUAGGUCGUUACUUUUUUCACUCUUGAAUAAGUACAGUCAGCUCCCAGUCAUUUUGGAAAAGGAGAAAAGAUUCCAAGGGCAAACAGCUUGAGCCUGACUAUCUCUCUUGAUUUAAGUGAUGAAUAAACACCAUGUGAAUUGCAUAUGGCAGCCGUGUGAAUGAAUGGGGAAACGACUGAAUAGAGAAGAUGCAGGGCUGCCGAUGAUCUUGACCUAAGCUUUGUCUGUAUCUUGAAUGCUGAAUUGCCUGCUGAACUGCUAGGUUUUAAAUCUAUCACAAUUCUAUCAGCAGUCAGAAUGAGCAGCUGUAAUACCUGGUUUUUAAGUUACAGCCCUGCAACAACCACCUUUAUAAAUAUAGCAAGUUGCUCGCAUAUUUUGUUAAACUUAGGCAGUUCAGUUUGUAAAUUUGGGGCAGAAUUAUCUAGAAAACUGAUUUAUUUCAACCCAGACCACUGGCCUCUCCAGCAGUUUUGUCUACUGACUGGCAGUGGCUCUCUUGAGUUUUGGACAGGAGCCUCUCCCAGCCCUUGCUGGUGUUGUCAGAGAGUGAACCUGAAAAUUACUGUAUGCAAUACGUGUGUUCUACCAGUGAGCUCCAUAUGAGGACAUACAUCAGUUUAGGACAUAAUUAUGGCUAUGGAGAAUUCCAAAACAAGGCAACCAUUGUCAUUGUGCAGCUCUUGCCCACAAAGUGCUUGUGAUAUGGAGACUCUGAACCGGAAGCGACACAUCUACAGAUCAGCUGUGUGGUGUUGCAAACACAGCCUGUUCCCAGUCAGGCACCUUUUCCCAUGGUGAAAGCGGGUUGGGAAGCCGGAAGGAAAAUAAGAAUGCCAGCUCCAGUGUUUGCGUAUUUCCCUCCAUUCUGGUGGCAUAGCAGAAUAGGGGGGCUGCGGAUUCCCCUUUUGUUAUUAUUACACAUUGGAGUAUUGACAACAGAUUGGAACUGGCAGAGAUUUCUGCACCUGCUUGCAAGGAAACAGUUGCUGGUACCGAUUGCCCCCAAAAUGCUGCAUCCAGAGCAGGGGUAGGCAAUCUAAGUCCCGGGGGCCGGAUGCAGCCCAAUCGCCUUCUCAAUCAGCGUAUUUUUACAUGAGUAGAAUGUGUGCUUUUAUUUAAAAUGCAUCUUGGGGUUAUUUGUGGGGCAUAGGUUCAUUAUUAUUUUCAAAAUAUAGUCCUGCCCACCACAUGGUCCGAGGGACAGUGAACCAGCACACAGCUGAAAAAGGCCCCUGAUCCAGAGCAUUGUGGGUGGCACAAAACAUUUGAGACGGCAUGUUUUUAAAAGGAAGGAAAGAACCACUGUUCUGUUCACAGUGAUCUCCUGGCAAAUAUGGCACUGGAAUUUGCCAUACCCACUUGAAAAAUGAAGCCACUGAACACUCCACUUGCCAUCUGUGGAAAAGGUGGUGAAUUUGGAUUCCACAAAUGCCUUAGCUGAGAUCAUGCAAGAUAGAAUCAAUUUAUUGUUUUUAAAAAUGGCACUGAAGGAGAUGUAGGCUUACAGUAGUAGCGGGAAACUGGUGGCCCUCCAGAUGUUGUUGAACUACAACUCCCAUCAUCCCUGGCCACUGACCAUGCUUCUUGGGGCCUGAUGGGAGUCCAGCAACAUCUGGAGGGUUCUGGAGUGUCAAAGGCUUCCCAUACCUUAAUAUGGGGAACAACAGUACAAAAGAGCUGAAGGCGAACGGCAAGUAUUUUUACACAAGCAACAUCAACUUUUUUGCAGUGAAAAUGGAACUUUGUGAAAAUUCAAUGCAGCACUAGAUCACCUGUGUCUUCGCAAUGAGGGGUGUGGGUGGGUGUCCUUUGAUAACCCAAAGGCUAUGCCUUACAUAUUUUGGAGGAACAUAUAUGAAAAGAACAAGGAAGAAGAAAGGCAGAGAGUGGGAUUUCAGGGCUUGUUUGUUCUGCUACAGAAUUCACAGGCUAUCUGGCUGCUGUGAUAUCAAGCAUCCUGCUCAUGCUGUGAAAAGAAAAACACACAAAGCAGAAGCCACACGUUGCUUUCAGGCUCAGCAAACCAAGGGGAUGAAAUGGCAUCGCUGUGAAUGGCUUUGGGGCUCAUCAAAAGGAAGUCUCAGAACAUCUCUGUCCAAGGUCAGAAAGGAACAAGAUGCUUUCCCACAGAAUAAUCACUGCUCUGUUUUUGAGGCAGAGUGGCUGCUCUGCUUUAGGUGGCUGUUCGGCUCCAACUUCUCAAACAUGGAAAUGCAACAGCAGGAUUAACAUAAAGAUUCUUGGUAUUCAUAGCAGAGUUAAAAGCUUGGAAGCUGAGGCUACCUGGAGUGACCCAGUCCCACCGCCACUCUUUCUGUCUCAUUCACACAUCGCUAGCAUAAUUUAAAAGAAUAAAACAAAACAAAAAUAGUUGGUCUCCAUGGUAAAGGAAAGGAGUCAUUUAUCUACAGCUUCUUCAUAUCUACAAGGAUUCUAACCUAGUUAGAUUCUAAGCUAGUUCUCAUGGCUGCCUCAAGCAGGAUAGAGGGAAGAAGGCGAAGGCAAUGAAGGCAUAGGGAUGGAACUUUGGACUUUGGCAGGAAACCACAAAGUGUAUUUCUCCCUAUUAGUCUCAUCCCUGCCCUCUGCUGACUGGAGGCAUGCAAAGUUGCUUAAACCCAACUCCCUUUCCAGAGGGAGGCUCAUGCAGACUUUUUUGUGCCACACUUUCCAGGCACACGUCUGCACUUUAAAGCUCCAUGUCUGAGUCCGUUCUCCAGGAAAACUUGAAUUUUACUGCCGAAUAAGAGAAAAUGGUUGUCUGCAGACAAUGCAAUAGUUCUUGGCUCUGAUUCAGAGGUAUAACAUGGGUUUUCCCAGGGGAAACUCCAGGACAAGAAUAAUAAAAUAAUAAUAAAUGUUCAGACGUGGAGCUUUAAAGAGCAGACCUGUGCCUAGAAAUAUGGCCCCAAAUCUCUUACACCAGGGAACAAGCCCAAUGCUUCUUGUUUUUCCAUAUUAAUUUCCUGCAACAUUUAUUUUUCACUUUAGGUGAAAUAGGGAUUAAUUUCGUUUCAAAACCCUUCCUGAAAAGCAAUGAAGCUCUAGCCGCCUACAACUCCCAUCAUCCCUAUGCAUUGGCCAUGCUGGCUGGGGCUGAUGGGAGUCCAACUGGUGUACAUGAUGCACUGAACUGUGGGGAUAGUGUUUUUUAAGUGUCACAUAUCGCUAGGCCCUGGAAGACAGAGUCAAUGACUAGGUGAAGCCAUCACACGAACUUGAUUGCUGAACUCAGGUCCUUCUAAUCCAGGCAUCCCCAAACUGCGGCCCUCCAGAUGUUUUGGCCUACAACUCCCAUGAUCCCUAGCUAACAGGACUAGUGGUUGGGGAGGAUGGGAAUUGUAGUCCAAAACAUCUGGAGGGCCAAAGUUUGGGGAUGCCUGUUCUAAUCCAACAUUUUCACGUUCUUUCAACCUCAGCAGAAAGUGCUGUUGCCUAGCAUUCCCACGGUUCAUCCUGAGGUUUCAUCUAAUCAAGUGGCCAUGUUGAUGCACCCAUCUCAGCUGCUUGUUUUCCCUUCAGUGAGUGAGGGAGUGUGAAGCUGAAGCAAUAAAGGGAGCAGGAAGGUGGGAACAAGCCUUCAGCUACCCCAAGGUCCUCCAGUCAUGACAAACCUGAGCCCAACUACUUUUAAUAUAUGAAGACAUAUAAUGGUACAUAUAUUGGUGCCCUUACAAAAUACUAUGCCCACAGUUCAGCGCAUCAUGUACAAGGAGGCAAGCUGGACACUAUGGCAGAAAAUGAUAGUUGUCCAUCUGUAAUGAAUGCCUUCGAGAAGAUAGGAUUUGUGUCAUGUGGCUGCUGUCAUACAAUAAGCCACACCAACCGCAUCAACACCAUACAAAAGCACUCUUAGUGUCACAUGUGAAAGCACUCCAAGGGUGUAAAUAAAGCACUGCCAAUUCUAGAAAUGCCACAGCAGGUUUAUAUUAUGGUCAUGGCUCAGAUUCAAGGGCACUCCUCAGAAAGUAGUUAAAAGAA
This is a non-coding RNA of Zootoca vivipara (common lizard), 5184 nucleotides long. The record is from RefSeq and is a predicted model, not a curated record. NCBI's taxonomy places the organism in Eukaryota, Metazoa, Chordata, Lepidosauria, Squamata, Lacertidae.